RNAcentral lists this ribosomal RNA (484 nucleotides) under uncultured bacterium. Its description in RNAcentral is "bacterial SSU rRNA". It matches the Rfam family "Bacterial small subunit ribosomal RNA", at positions 28 to 368 of the family's 1533-position model. The record is from RNAcentral.
GACGAACGCUGGCGGCGUGCCUAACACAUGCAAGUCGAGCGGAGAUUGACUUCAACACAAAGUAUUUCAGCGAGCCAGGCGUGCAUGCAAAAACGACCUUGAGGAUAAGCAGGCUAAAGAUAAGAGGUUUUUGCAUUACGCGUCCUCAAGUGCCAAGACAGGCAGAAAGAGGCGGCGUGCUGGAGUAUUGCGUGUUGAAGUCAAUCUUAGCGGCGGACGGGUGAGUAACGCGUGAGCAAUCUGCCUCAUACAGGGGGAUAACAGUCGGAAACGACUGCUAAUACCGCAUAAGACCACAGAACCGCAUGGUACAGGGGUCAAAGGAGGAAUCCGGUAUGAGAUGAGCUCGCGUCCCAUUAGCUAGUUGGCGGGGUAACGGCCCACCAAGGCGACGAUGGGUAGCCGACCUGAGAGGGUGACCGGCCACACUGGGACUGAGACACGGCCCAGACUCCUACGGGAGGCAGCAGUGGGGAAUAUUGCG